This 253-nucleotide ribosomal RNA is filed under the name uncultured bacterium. RNAcentral's name for it is "partial 16S ribosomal RNA". It matches the Rfam family "Bacterial small subunit ribosomal RNA", at positions 524 to 776 of the family's 1533-position model. The record is from RNAcentral.
UACGGAGGGCGCGAGCGUUAUUCGGAAUCAUUGGGCGUAAAGCGCGUGUAGGCGGCUGGGCAAGUCGGAUGUGAAAGCCCGGGGCUCAACCCCGGAAUUGCAUUCGAAACUGCCUAGCUAGAGUCUCGGAGAGGAGGGCGGAAUUCCCGGUGUAGAGGUGAAAUUCGUAGAUAUCGGGAGGAACACCAGUGGCGAAGGCGGCCCUCUGGACGAUGACUGACGCUGAGACGCGAAAGCGUGGGGAGCAAACAGG